Molecule: ribosomal RNA, 253 nt
Filed under: uncultured bacterium
Lineage: Bacteria
Description: partial 16S ribosomal RNA
Rfam family: Bacterial small subunit ribosomal RNA
Source: RNAcentral
UACAGAGGGUGCAAGCGUUGUUCGGAAUUACUGGGCGUAAAGGGCGCGUAGGCGGUUUAGUAAGUCAGAUGUGAAAUCCCGGGGCUCAACUCCGGAAGUGCAUUUGAAACUACUAGACUAGAGUACAGUAGAGGUUGGUGGAAUUCCCAGUGUAGAGGUGAAAUUCGUAGAUAUUGGGAGGAACACCGGUGGCGAAGGCGGCCAACUGGGCUGUAACUGACGCUGAGGCGCGAAAGCGUGGGGAGCGAACAGG